This 89-nucleotide transfer RNA is filed under the name Nanobdellota archaeon. Its description in RNAcentral is "tRNA-Leu". It matches the Rfam family "tRNA". Rfam says of the family: Transfer RNA (tRNA) molecules are approximately 80 nucleotides in length. Their secondary structure includes four short double-helical elements and three loops (D, anti-codon, and T loops). The record is from RNAcentral. Lineage: Archaea; Nanobdellati; Nanobdellota.
GCGGGAGUCGCCCAGCUAGGUCAAAGGCGCAAGACUCAAGAUCUUGUCGCUUAGUGCGUUCGCAAGUUCAAAUCUUGCCUCCCGCACCA